AAUGGGGGAAACCCUGACCCAGCAACGCCGCGUGAAGGAAGAAGGUCUUCGGAUUGUAAACUUCUUUGAUCAGGGACGAAGAAAUGACGGUACCUGAAGAACAAGCCACGGCUAACUACGUGCCAGCAGCCGCGGUAAUACGUAGGUGGCAAGCGUUAUCCGGAUUUACUGGGUGUAAAGGGCGUGUAGGCGGUUCUGCAAGUCAGAUGUGAAAUUCCCGGGCUUAACUCGGGCGCUGCAUCUGAAACUGCAGAACUUGAGUACUGGAGAGGAUAGUGGAAUUCCUAGUGUAGCGGUAAAAUGCGUAGAUAUUAGGAGGAACACCAGUGGCGAAGGCGGCUAUCUGGACAGUAACUGACGCUGAGGCGCGAAAGCGUGGGGAGCAAA
RNAcentral lists this ribosomal RNA (387 nucleotides) under uncultured bacterium. RNAcentral describes it as "bacterial SSU rRNA". It matches the Rfam family "Bacterial small subunit ribosomal RNA", at positions 370 to 772 of the family's 1533-position model. The record is from RNAcentral.